ACUAAGGUUCGAUUCGAGCGCAGCGAGAAAGCGUUGCCGUAGGCAACGACCCGAAGGGCGAAGCGCGCAGCGCUGAGUAAUCCUUCCCCCACCACCA
RNAcentral lists this small RNA (97 nucleotides) under Salmonella enterica subsp. enterica serovar Agona. Its description in RNAcentral is "partial RtT sRNA". It matches the Rfam family "RtT RNA", at positions 35 to 130 of the family's 130-position model. Rfam says of the family: This family represents a bacterial cis-regulatory element known as RtT RNA. The exact function of RtT is unknown although it is thought that it may be involved in changing the cellular response in relation to amino acid starvation. The record is from RNAcentral. Lineage: Bacteria; Pseudomonadati; Pseudomonadota; Gammaproteobacteria; Enterobacterales; Enterobacteriaceae.